GGAGGCUCCAUGGUGGCUCUCAGGAAUAGGGAGUGCUUCUGGUAGGGGAAAGGAGUGCAUGAAGAGUUUCUGCAAGAGAGCCCCGGAACAGAUACUCUUUGGCCAAGAUGGUGGAGUAGAAAGACCCUGAGCUUACCUCCUCUCAUGAGCACACCAAAAUCACAAGUACUUGCAGAACAACCAUCAAUGAAAAAGUCCAGAACCAACCAGAAGAGAUCUUCUACAACUGAAGACAUAAAAAAGGAACCAUGAUGAGAACAGGUAAUCUACAGAAAUACUACUCUUGGCAAGUGGGAAAAAAAUUAAAUAUGGAUUUUUAUCUGGUUUAAAAAUGGAAUGUUUUUCUUAAUGCACAUGCAUUUGAUAAUUAGGAAAAAAGCACCUUACAUAUUAUUUUCUCAUACAGAUUUUAGAAAACUUGGAGAAAGCCAUAAUGAAAGCAGUGUGUGCCUUUGGAAGUUGAACUUACUUCCAUUUAUCAUCCAGAUUUUAGCUUAAGUUCUGACAUAUUUGCAAAGUAUUUGACAAAUGUCUGUACAUAUAUAAAGUCAUAAUAUACCUCGUAUUAACAUGUUACUUUUGACAUGUGGAAUCACUGAUAAUUUAC
This is a non-coding RNA of Kogia breviceps (pygmy sperm whale), 607 nucleotides long. NCBI's taxonomy places the organism in Eukaryota, Metazoa, Chordata, Mammalia, Artiodactyla, Physeteridae. The record is from RefSeq and is a predicted model, not a curated record.